RNAcentral lists this unclassified non-coding RNA (281 nucleotides) under plant metagenome. RNAcentral describes it as "partial contains small subunit ribosomal RNA, internal transcribed spacer 1, and 5.8S ribosomal RNA". The stretch from base 235 to 281 matches the Rfam family "5.8S ribosomal RNA", at positions 1 to 47 of the family's 154-position model. The record is from RNAcentral.
UUUCCGUAGGUGAACCUGCGGAAGGAUCAUUAUUGUAUAACCGAGGUGCGAGGGCUGUCGCUGACCCGAAAGGUCGUGCACGCCCGAGUGCCCUCACACACAUCCAUCUCACCCCUAUGUGCACCACCGCGUGGGUCCCCCUUUGGCUUGUUCGGAGGGGGGCUUACGUUUUCACACAAACUUUGUAUGCAGUGUAGAAUGUAUUUUUUGUUUUUGCGAUCACGCAAUCAAUACAACUUUCAACAACGGAUCUCUUGGCUCUCGCAUCGAUGAAGAACGCC